This 253-nucleotide ribosomal RNA is filed under the name uncultured bacterium. Its description in RNAcentral is "partial 16S ribosomal RNA". It matches the Rfam family "Bacterial small subunit ribosomal RNA", at positions 524 to 776 of the family's 1533-position model. The record is from RNAcentral.
UACGGAGGGGGCGAGCGUUAUUCGGAAUUACUGGGCGUAAAGUGUGCGCAGGCGGCGCUGCAAGUCGAGUGUGAAAUCCCCGAGCUUAACUUGGGAAUUGCGCUCGAAACUACGGCGCUGGAGUAUGGCAGAGGAAGGUGGAAUUCCACGUGUAGCGGUGAAAUGCGUAGAGAUGUGGAGGAACACCGAUGGCGAAGGCAGCCUUCUGGGCCAAUACUGACGCUCAUGCACGAAAGCGUGGGGAGCAAACAGG